ACUCAAAUGAAUUGACGGGGGCCCGCACAAGCGGUGGAGCAUGUGGAUUAAUACGUCACUAACCGUAGAACCUUACCCAGACUUGACAUCCCAGGAAGUCCCCUGAAAGGGGGAUGUGCUUCGCAAGAAGAGCCUGGAGACAGGUGUUGCAUGGCUGUCGUCAGCUCGUGUCGUGAGAUGUUGGGUUAAGUCCCGCAACGAGCGCAACCCUCACCGUAUGUUGCCAGCGCGAAAGGCGGGAACUCUUACGGAACUGCCCGGGCAACCGGGAGGAAGGUGGGGACGACGUCAAGUCAGCAUGGCCCUUACGUCUGGGGCUUCACACAUGCUACAAUGGCCGGUACAGAGGGUCCCGAGGCCGCGAGGCGGAGGCAAUCCCACAAAGCCGGUCCAAGUUCGGAUCGCAGGCUGCAACUCGCCUGCGUGAAGCCGGAAUCGCUAGUAACCGCCGGUCAGCUAAACGGCGGUGAAUACGUUCCCGGGCCUUGUACACACCGCCCGU
This 502-nucleotide ribosomal RNA is filed under the name uncultured bacterium. RNAcentral's name for it is "partial 16S ribosomal RNA". It matches the Rfam family "Bacterial small subunit ribosomal RNA", at positions 899 to 1397 of the family's 1533-position model. The record is from RNAcentral.